Long non-coding RNA from Notolabrus celidotus (New Zealand spotty), 425 nucleotides. RefSeq lists it as uncharacterized. The transcript is spliced from 2 exons. NCBI's taxonomy places the organism in Eukaryota, Metazoa, Chordata, Actinopteri, Labriformes, Labridae. The record is from RefSeq and is a predicted model, not a curated record.
AGCAUCGUGGGCAGGAAGGCUCGAGCACUGUACGCCUGUAAGGCAGAGCAUGACUCGGAGCUGUCCUUCAUCGCUGGGACCAUCUUUGAGAACGUCCACUCCUCCAGGGAGCCGGGUUGGCUUGAAGGGACUCUGGAAGGCCGAACGGGACUGAUACCAGAAAACUAUGUGGAGUUUUUAUAGUCCAGGGCCGGACUUCAACUGGACUGGACUGGACUGGAGUUAACCAAACUAGAAUUGGCUGCAGAAGACAGAACAGACUUUAAUAGAUCUUAUACUGGACCGACCGGUUGUUAAAGAAGCCGAUAGACCGGCUCUUGAAAGUAGACCGUUUUGAAUUGAGGUGGUUCAGGAGCGAAGUGGAGCGGACUUGGAAGGGAGACUCAUUAUUGCACUGGAAAAAAAUAAACAUGCGUCCAACUGUG